This 440-nucleotide ribosomal RNA is filed under the name uncultured bacterium. RNAcentral's name for it is "partial 16S ribosomal RNA". It matches the Rfam family "Bacterial small subunit ribosomal RNA", at positions 338 to 795 of the family's 1533-position model. The record is from RNAcentral.
CCUACGGGAGGCAGCAGUGGGGAAUAUUGGACAAUGGGGGAAACCCUGAUGCAGCGACGCCGCGUGAGUGAAGAAGUAUUUCGGUAUGUAAAGCUCUAUCAGCAGGAAAGAAAAUGACGGUACCUGAUUAAGAAGCCCCGGCUAACUACGUGCCAGCAGCCGCGGUAAUACGUAGGGGGCAAGCGUUAUCCGGAUUUACUGGGUGUAAAGGGAGCGUAGACGGCAGCACAAGUCUGGAGUGAAAUGCCGGGGCUCAACCCCGGAACUGCUCUGGAAACUGUGAAGCUGGAGUGCAGGAGAGGUAAGCGGAAUUCCUGGUGUAGCGGUGAAAUGCGUAGAUAUCAGGAGGAACACCAGCGGCGAAGGCGGCUUACUGGACUGUAACUGACGUUGAGGCUCGAAGGCGUGGGGAGCAAACAGGAUUAGAUACCCGGGUAGUC